GCGGCGGGGGCGCCGCCGGGGCCCGUGGGCGGCGGAGGCGGCCAGCCCGGAGGCGGCCGCGGCCCUGGGAAGGGACGGGGAGGUGGCGCCAGGCGACCGUUACGGCGGCGCGUGCGGAGCCGAGGAGAAGCAGUAAUACAUCACUCUAAGAAUCGCUGCCUUUGGACACUACUCUGAAGGUUCUCACACAUGAAAAAUUCAAUUUCAAUAUGAACUUUGUCCAAGAGAGGUCUGAAAGCUGCAUUGUUAUGAUGCCCAGGACUGUAGCACUGGUGAUGGUAUACAAUGGCUAUGCUAUCACACACCAUGGAGCAAGUGACUUAGAAGGGAGGAGAAGGCUUAUCCUUCCAGGAAGUCCACCUCUGAUAUGCUUCAUAUGUUAUCCUGUCUCUGUAGAAGAGUUUCUGCAUACAUGCAUUAGGAGAUAAUGUCUCUCCUGAAAAGACUGAUAAUCUGUGUAAGGUUGGGAUCCUGAUACUUUCCCCCCACUCUAUGGAAGUGGAACAGAAAGGCUGUGGUUUGCCAGAAGUCUUAAGGAAAACCUUGCAGGAGAGCCAAGAACCGAGACUGGACUUCUUACCUCCCAAAUCAGUGCCUUAACCACAAAUCCAGCCAUCCCCUCUUGCUAAUGCCACGCCAACUGCAUUAUAAAUCUAGUUUGUAAGUUAUGAAGCCAGUCAGUGACAAUUAUCUGGACAGCACAAACAUAGUAACACUGCAAACAUGUUUGUUAGGCAAUAAAAUCUUACACACCCAAGAAGCUCA
This 765-nucleotide long non-coding RNA is filed under the name Apteryx owenii (little spotted kiwi). RNAcentral describes it as "lncRNA (ENSAOWG00000009625.1)". Lineage: Eukaryota; Metazoa; Chordata; Aves; Apterygiformes; Apterygidae. The record is from RNAcentral.